This 592-nucleotide ribosomal RNA is filed under the name Streptococcus mutans. RNAcentral's name for it is "bacterial SSU rRNA". It matches the Rfam family "Bacterial small subunit ribosomal RNA", at positions 367 to 958 of the family's 1533-position model. Lineage: Bacteria; Bacillati; Bacillota; Bacilli; Lactobacillales; Streptococcaceae. The record is from RNAcentral.
GGCAAUGGACGAAAGUCUGACCGAGCAACGCCGCGUGAGUGAAGAAGUUUUCGGAUCGUAAAGCUCUGUCGUAAGUCAAGAACGUGUGAGAGUGGAAAGUUCACACAGUGACGGUAGCUUACCAGAAAGGGACGGCUAACUACGUGCCAGCAGCCGCGGUAAUACGUUAGGUCCCGAGCGUUGUCCGGAUUUAUUGGGCGUAAAGGGAGCGCAGGCGGUCAGGAAAGUCUGGAGUAAAAGGCUAUGGCUCAACCAUAGUGUGCUCUGGAAACUGUCUGACUUGAGUGCAGAAGGGGAGAGUGGAAUUCCAUGUGUAGCGGUGAAAUGCGUAGAUAUAUGGAGGAACACCAGUGGCGAAAGCGGCUCUCUGGUCUGUCACUGACGCUGAGGCUCGAAAGCGUGGGUAGCGAACAGGAUUAGAUACCCUGGUAGUCCACGCCGUAAACGAUGAGUGCUAGGUGUUAGGCCCUUUCCGGGCUUAGUGCCGAGCUAAGCAAUAGCACUCGCCUGGGAGUACGACCGCAAGGUUGAAACUCAAAGGAAUUGACGGGGGCCCGCACAAGCGGUGGAGCAUGUGGUUUAAUUCGAAGCA